RNAcentral lists this non-coding RNA (46 nucleotides) under Trichobilharzia regenti. Lineage: Eukaryota; Metazoa; Platyhelminthes; Trematoda; Strigeidida; Schistosomatidae. The record is from RNAcentral.
AUACAAAUGACGAGUCCAAAAAUAGGACGAAAUGCGCAUCCUGGAU